CAGUCGCCGCGGUAAUACGAAGGGGGCUAGCGUUGCUCGGAAUCACUGGGCGUAAAGGGUGCGUAGGCGGGUCUUUAAGUCAGAGGUGAAAUCCUGGAGCUCAACUCCAGAACUGCCUUUGAUACUGAGGAUCUUGAGUUCGGGAGAGGUGAGUGGAACUGCGAGUGUGGAGGUGAAAUUCGUAGAUAUUCGCAAGAACACCAGUGGCGAAGGGGGCUCACUGGCCCGAUACUGACGCUGAGGCACGAAAGCGUGGGGAGCAAACAGGAUUAGAGACCCCGGUAGUCCCUGUCUCUUAUAC
RNAcentral lists this ribosomal RNA (301 nucleotides) under uncultured bacterium. Its description in RNAcentral is "partial 16S ribosomal RNA". It matches the Rfam family "Bacterial small subunit ribosomal RNA", at positions 509 to 807 of the family's 1533-position model. The record is from RNAcentral.